RNAcentral lists this ribosomal RNA (253 nucleotides) under uncultured bacterium. RNAcentral describes it as "partial 16S ribosomal RNA". It matches the Rfam family "Bacterial small subunit ribosomal RNA", at positions 524 to 776 of the family's 1533-position model. The record is from RNAcentral.
UACAGAGGUGGCAAGCGUUGUUCGGAAUUACUGGGCGUAAAGGGCGCGUAGGCGGCUUGGUCAGUCCCGUGUGAAAUCCCUCGGCUCAACUGAGGAACUCCACGGGAAACUGCCUGGCUUGAGUUCGGGAGAGGGAAGCGGAAUUCCGGGUGUAGCGGUGAAAUGCGUAGAUAUCCGGAGGAACACCGGUGGCGAAGGCGGCUUCCUGGACCGACACUGACGCUGAGGCGCGAAAGCUAGGGGAGCAAACGGG